Molecule: ribosomal RNA, 460 nt
Filed under: uncultured bacterium
Lineage: Bacteria
Description: partial 16S ribosomal RNA
Rfam family: Bacterial small subunit ribosomal RNA
Source: RNAcentral
CCUACGGGAGGCAGCAGUGAGGAAUAUUGGUCAAUGGACGAGAGCCUGAACCAGCCAAGUAGCGUGAAGGAUGACUGCCCUACGGGUUGUAAACUUCUUUUAUAAAGGAAUAAAACGAGGCACGUGUGCCUUUUUGCAUGUACUUUAUGAAUAAGGAUCGGCUAACUCCGUGCCAGCAGCCGCGGUAAUACGGAGGAUCCGAGCGUUAUCCGGAUUUAUUGGGUUUAAAGGGAGCGUAGAUGGGUUGUUAAGUCAGUUGUGAAAGUUUGCGGCUCAACCGUAAAAUUGCAAUUGAUACUGGCAGCCUUGAGUACAGUUGAGGUAGGCGGAAUUCGUGGUGGAGCGGUGAAAUGCUUAGAUAUCACGAAGAACCCCGAUUGCGAAGGCAGCUUACUAAACUGUGACUGACAUUGAUGCACGAAAGUGUGGGUAUCAAACAGGAUUAGAUACCCUUGUAGUC